CACAGAACUGCCCGGUCCUGCCCGCUGGGGAGUUUCCUCCUUCUUUGAAAGCGAGAAUGAAAUCUCUGCUGCUUUUCCUUUCCCUCUUCUCCACCCUGGCCUGUGUUCUCUCCCAGGUGCAGCUGGUCCAGUCCGGGCAGGGCGUGGUGAAGCCCGGAGAGACCCUCGCACUGACCUGCGCUGUCUCCGGCUUCUCUAUCUCUACUCAGCAUUACGACUGGCACUGGAUCCGGCAGCCCCCCGGGAAAGGGCUGGAGUGGAUGGGACGGGUAUAUCCGUAUAGUAGCGGGACCACAAACUACGCCCCGUCUCUGCAAGGCCGAAUCACCAUCUCUGCAGACACCGCCAAGAACCAGUUCUCGCUGCAGCUCCGCUCGCUGACAGCUGCAGACACCGGCACCUAUUACUGCGCCAGGAGAGACACAGUGACACAGAGCAGAGCGGGACUGGCACAAAAAGUGGAAGCUGUUUCCUAACAGCCCAGGGGGACGACAGUCACAGGGAGAGGUGAGCCCAUUGAGAGAAACAGAUCACACACGGUGAAGUCACUAUGAACAAAAUACAUAGACAGAGGUGGUUUUGUUUUAAAUCCACGCUGUAGUUACCCAGUUUCUCUGGACGCGCCUUACCUUCCGCAGCCACAGAAAUCGUCUCAAA
Molecule: non-coding RNA, 657 nt
Organism: Mauremys reevesii (Reeves's turtle)
Lineage: Eukaryota; Metazoa; Chordata; Testudines; Geoemydidae
Source: the annotation of a RefSeq genome assembly